This 585-nucleotide long non-coding RNA is filed under the name Panax ginseng (ginseng). Its description in RNAcentral is "long non-coding RNA (PGIN_LNC015622)". Lineage: Eukaryota; Viridiplantae; Streptophyta; Magnoliopsida; Apiales; Araliaceae. The record is from RNAcentral.
CCUAGCUGAUCAUCUUGCUGAUCCAGUGAACAACAAUGCAUGGGCCUAUGCCACCAACUUUGUCCCCGGAAAGUGAGAGAGGAGGAGAGCUUUGAACUUCUUACUUUCGGUUUGAGCAGUUUGUGUGUUUGUUAUGUAUAUUGGUCCGAUCUAAUGAAAAAAAGUGUGAAUUUAUAUGUCUUUGUUAUGUAUAAGUUGAUACCCUAUGUUGUUUGUUUGUUCUAAAAAUGCAGUAGUACCUAAAAUGUAUCUAUCUCAUCUUACAUAAUCACUUGGUUAGGGCCAUGGAAUGGUGGCCUUAACCAAUUUCUUUUGGGACGUUUCAAAUUAGCUCAAUAUAAAUGCUGCUAAAAAUCUUCAAUAUUGUUGGACACAAUUGGCUAUCAUGUAAAAUUUGCUCAUAAUUCUCGUAGCUUAAGAAGAUUAAUUUGAUAUAUAGUUGCCUAUCAAGUUAUAAAGAAUCAAAAAUGGAUAAUAGAAAAAGAAAAGAAAAGAAAAGGUGAGAAUACAUGAAUUAAUAGUAGUAAUGUAGUAGUAAAACUAGACUUGUAGGUAAGUAGUUUCGUUUUUGCUCAGAAAGGGUAC